This 402-nucleotide ribosomal RNA is filed under the name bacterium. RNAcentral describes it as "partial 16S ribosomal RNA". It matches the Rfam family "Bacterial small subunit ribosomal RNA", at positions 355 to 776 of the family's 1533-position model. The record is from RNAcentral.
UGGGGAAUUUUGCACAAUGGGGGAAACCCUGAUGCAGCGACGCCGCGUGAUUUAGAAGGCCUUCGGGUUGUAAAAAUCUUUUCUAUGGGAAGAAAAUGACAGUACCAUAGGAAUAAGGACCGGCUAAUUACGUGCCAGCAGCCGCGGUAAUACGUAAGGUCCGAGCGUUGUCCGGAAUCAUUGGGCGUAAAGGGUACGUAGGCGGGUAAGCAAGUUAGAAGUGAAAUCCUAUAGCUCAACUAUAGUAAGCUUUUAAAACUGCUCAUCUUGAGGUAUGGAAGGGAAAGUGGAAUUCCUAGUGUAGCGGUGAAAUGCGCAGAUAUUAGGAGGAAUACCGGUGGCGAAGGCGGCUUUCUGGCCAUAACCUGACGAUGAGGUACGAAAGCGUGGGUAGCAAACAGG